GAAGAGUAGCCCUAAGCUAACAGCUGCCGCCGAUCCUUCUCUUCUUGCUGAGGAAGAUUGGCCCUGAGCUAACAUCUGUGGCCAAAUUCCUCUUUUUUUUAAUAUGUGGGACACCUGCCACAGCAUGGCUUGACAAGCGGUGUAUAGGUCCACACCCGGGAUCCAAACUGGCGAACCCCAGCUGCCAAAGCAGAACGUGUGAACUUAACUGCUGCACCGCUGGGCCAGCUCCUAAGGGACUUUUUUAGGACACAAACAGAAAUUGAUUUUGAAGUUGUUUUUCACCUUCUGGCAUAACUAUGCCUUCUUAACCGUUAAAGCUUCAAUAAAAAUCUGAAUAUGUAACGACUUCUUGUUAACGAUGCUUUAGGACAGUGGAUCUCAACUCGUGUGUGUGUGUGUGUGUGUGUGUGUGUGUGAGAGAGAGAGAGAGAGAGAGAUUGUCACCAGGCAGACUGAGAAAAUCCCAAUGGCCAGUCUGCACUCGGACCAAUAAUAUCAGAAGCUCUGGGGGUAGCAUUAGUAUUUUUUAAAGUCCUCCAGAUAAUUUGAAAAAUGUGUGGCCAAGGUUGUUAAUUGCUGCUUAGGAAAAUGAAAGAAGGAGAGAGGUGUGGAGCUCAGGGCAAAGAGUUCAAGCAACAAGGCGGAGGUUGCUUGUGAAGUUGACCAUGAGUACACCAAGCAGGCCGCAGCCUCUGGGCAAAGCCUCUUGACCCAGGAAGCUUGUAAAAGAGGACAGACUUGAGAUAAACUCUGGUCCUUAUUGUCAACAUCCAUUGUCACUGAUAUUUCCCUCGAGUUGAUCUAACUUUGAUUUUUCUGUCAAUUUGGAGCUUGACUCCCUUCCAAAGACAAUGGAGUCUGGCUGCUGACCAGGAGCUGCGAAACUGCCCCUCUUACCCAUCUCCAGCCACGUGGUUUCUGGACAUCUUCCCUGGGGAGAGGACAGUCAAUAGCUGUGAAGGAAACACAUCAGUGAAGGUAGCUGUGCGUAGCUGAGCGCUCACUGGAGAGACAGGCCGUCAGAUGAGAGAUUGGCGUCAAGUAGUAAACGGCAACCAAAGGAGUCACAUAAGAUCACUGUCCAAACCCAAUGGAGAAUGGAACCAACCCAGCGCCUGAGAAGGAAGUCUUCUGAGCACGGAGCAUCUGGAAAGGAAGCAGAGAGGACAUGAUGCUCCUGUGGCCUUGGCAGCUCUGAGGGGACAUGGACAACUCUGGUGUAGCAGCUGUUAAGUAGCAGAGAAAAAUGUCAUCUUGAGGCCAGAAGAACAUGUGAGCCAUGCCUGGGCCACGGAAAGAAACUAGCCGGGGGGCAAUGGGCUUGAGAGUCACCACCAGAAUCAGCACAAAACAACAUAAGGAUAAUGAAGAUGAUGACAAUAGUUUACAAAUAUAGAAUUUAUAAUAAUGUAAUAGUUUAUAAUAGCAUGUAAUGACCAUGGGCCAGGCAUCGGGUUCAGCUCUUGAU
Molecule: long non-coding RNA, 1471 nt
Organism: Equus caballus (horse)
Lineage: Eukaryota; Metazoa; Chordata; Mammalia; Perissodactyla; Equidae
Source: Ensembl